AAAUGUUGUUUGUUUAUAUGAGGUCUCUCUCUCUCUCAAAAUUUCCUUUACUAUUUACCCUAUUCUGUAUCACUUGCAAUAAGUAAAUUCUUUUAAUUAUGGCUUUUAAAUCAAAAGGUACUUUUGGUUUUCUCUUAGAUCUUUCUCUGCCAUAUGUAGGCGACGUCAGAUUUCUUGGUUCUUUUCAUGCAUGCAUUUUGCUAGAAACUAUUGAUGGUAAUUUUGCUAAGAUAUUCACUGCACCUAUUUUCCAUGCAAAUGAAAUUUGGCAUCUCCUUUUGGACUGGAGGAAGACUUAUUGACAUAGAUAUAGUGAUUCAAUAGAACAUGCUUCCAAGUUGAUAUUCUUAAAUGACACUGAGAAAUUCCUGGGACAAAAUUGUGAAGUUUUAUUUGAUGAUAUGAUCUUUUUGCUAAUUUUGGUCCCAAUAUAAAAGAUCGUAUUUUAACAUUGUUAGCAAUUUUCAUUUGCAGUUUGGGUUAAAUAUAGGUUCUUUGUUAGUUAAAGUACUAUUUUGGCAUUUAUAUUGCUGUGUGCUUAAAAAUAAUUAAGAUUGGUCUUUCUAAAAUUAGAACUUGAAGAAAUCUGAGCAAAGAUUUAAAAUUCAUUUACUUGGUGUAAGAUUUAUCAAACUGUUACUUUUCUUUUCCAGGUGAUGGGAAGCAAGACAAAGA
Molecule: unclassified non-coding RNA, 675 nt
Filed under: Hevea brasiliensis (rubber tree)
Lineage: Eukaryota; Viridiplantae; Streptophyta; Magnoliopsida; Malpighiales; Euphorbiaceae
Source: RNAcentral